CUACGUAGGGGGCGAGCGUUAUCCGGAUUUAUUGGGCGUAAAGCGUGUGUAGGCGGUUUGUUAAGUUUAAGAUUAAAGCCCGAGGCUUAACCUCGGUUCGUCUUAAAAACUGGCAGACUUGAGUGCAGUAGAGGCAAGUGGAAUUUCUAGUGUAGCGGUUAAAUGCGUAGAUAUUAGAAGGAACACCAGUGGCGAAGGCGGCUUGCUGGGCUGUUACUGACGCUGAGACACGAAAGCGUGGGGAGCAAAUAGGAUUAGAUACCCUAGUAGUCCACGCCGUAAACGAUGAGUACUAAGUGUCGGGUAACCGGUGCUGAAGUUAACACAUUAAGUACUCCGCCUGAGUAGUACGGUCGCAAGGCUGAAACUCAAAUGAAUUGACGGGG
RNAcentral lists this ribosomal RNA (386 nucleotides) under uncultured bacterium. RNAcentral describes it as "partial 16S ribosomal RNA". It matches the Rfam family "Bacterial small subunit ribosomal RNA", at positions 523 to 918 of the family's 1533-position model. The record is from RNAcentral.